This 789-nucleotide ribosomal RNA is filed under the name uncultured bacterium. RNAcentral describes it as "bacterial SSU rRNA". It matches the Rfam family "Bacterial small subunit ribosomal RNA", at positions 8 to 794 of the family's 1533-position model. The record is from RNAcentral.
AGAGUUUGAUCCUGGCUCAGAUUGAACGCUGGCGGCAUGCUUUACACAUGCAAGUCGAACGGUAACAGGCCGCAAGGUGCUGACGAGUGGCGAACGGGUGAGUAAUGCAUCGGAACGUGCCCAGUCGUGGGGGAUAACGCAGCGAAAGCUGCGCUAAUACCGCAUACGAUCUAUGGAUGAAAGCGGGGGACCGUAAGGCCUCGCGCGAUUGGAGCGGCCGAUGUCAGAUUAGGUAGUUGGUGGGGUAAAGGCUCACCAAGCCGACGAUCUGUAGCUGGUCUGAGAGGACGACCAGCCACACUGGGACUGAGACACGGCCCAGACUCCUACGGGAGGCAGCAGUGGGGAAUUUUGGACAAUGGGCGCAAGCCUGAUCCAGCAAUGCCGCGUGCAGGAAGAAGGCCUUCGGGUUGUAAACUGCUUUUGUACGGAACGAAACGGCUCUGGUUAAUACCUGGGGCUAAUGACGGUACCGUAAGAAUAAGCACCGGCUAACUACGUGCCAGCAGCCGCGGUAAUACGUAGGGUGCAAGCGUUAAUCGGAAUUACUGGGCGUAAAGCGUGCGCAGGCGGUUUUGUAAGACAGGCGUGAAAUCCCCGGGCUCAACCUGGGAAUGGCGCUUGUGACUGCAAAGCUGGAGUGCGGCAGAGGGGGAUGGAAUUCCGCGUGUAGCAGUGAAAUGCGUAGAUAUGCGGAGGAACACCGAUGGCGAAGGCAAUCCCCUGGGCCUGCACUGACGCUCAUGCACGAAAGCGUGGGGAGCAAACAGGAUUAGAUACCCCGGUAGU